GUGCUCACUUUGGUACACACGAACUGAAAUUGGAACCACACAGAGAAGAUUAGCAUGGCCCCCGCACAUGAAUGACACACACAUUCAUGAAGUGUUCCAUAUUAAA
Small nuclear RNA from Myodes glareolus (Bank vole), 106 nucleotides. The record is from RefSeq and is a predicted model, not a curated record. Lineage: Eukaryota; Metazoa; Chordata; Mammalia; Rodentia; Cricetidae.